ACCUUACUGCCGUACCAUUCAUCCCCUCAUCCCUCUUCACAUUCUCGGUCUCCUCCCGUUCCUUUUUCUCCAUUCCUUCUCCGAUCCAUGGAUUCAUCCCAAUUUGUUGCUAGAUCCUGCCAAGGGUGGAGGACGGGGUGAGAAGGGGGAUUUGCGGCGGAGUGCGGUGGCUGCAGGUUCUCGGCGGCGGCAGGUCCUCCAGCUUGACCACACGUUCCUGCUGCUCGCUGCCGCCGUCCAUUGGAUGGCCAUGGAGCUGGGCCCCUUUGAACUUGAACGGUGGCUCUCCUCUAGAGAGUCCACAGGAGGAGGCAGGUCGUGGGCUUCCUAUUUGCUACUGUGGCAGCUUCCACCUAUGUAAUGUGCUACAACUUUGCAUCAUUCCUACUUUCUGCACACGGCUGAUUCGUCACAGUUGUCACUACAGGCUUGAGAGUCUCGUUUUCCUCAAGAAGUGGUGAUAUCAUAUCUGAGAAGAAGUUUGAUGCAUUACCUAACUUUUCUGGGUUUUAUGCCACAUUCCAACCUUGAUGAUUCAGUGAGAGGCAGCUCUGAAGAUAUGUCCUGACUUCGUCGGUCGUCCUGAUGCGGUCACAUUGCAGUUUCGGCUGUUUGUCUGGCAUCGCAGAACUCAAAUUUGUUGGUGGUGCUCUGGUCGGGUAGCAGAUUUGUUCUGCAGUCUUCGAUUUUAUUGGUGUUACGCUGCCCGGGUAGUAGAUUUGUUGUGCAGUCUUCAAUUUUGUUGGUGGUUCUCUUCCUGGGUAGUAGAUUUCGGAAGACCUCGAUUUUGUUGGUGGUGCUUUGGUCGGGUAGCAGAUUUGUAGACUUUGAUAUGUCCAGAAUUGGUUGACUCCGACUCUUGGGCGUCUGUUGGAUGUGGUCGGCCGAGUGUCUUUCUAUUUUGUUGCCUUGGCUGACUCCAUCUAGAGUUUCUUUUUAUCUAGAGUCCAUGUGGAGACGUGGAGUUCUAUUGAUUGAGUCCCUCCAGAUAGGACGGACCGGAUCAAGAAUUUGUACGUGUGUUGUUAAAAAAAGAAUUUAUACGUGUCCUAUGUCAACACGUUUCCGCAC
This is a long non-coding RNA of Triticum aestivum (bread wheat), 1071 nucleotides long. RefSeq lists it as uncharacterized. The record is from RefSeq and is a predicted model, not a curated record. Lineage: Eukaryota; Viridiplantae; Streptophyta; Magnoliopsida; Poales; Poaceae. The transcript is spliced from 4 exons.